GAGGGUAUAGCUCAGCGGUAGAGCACGCGCUUAGCAUGCACGAAGCCCUGAGUCCAAUCCCCAGUACUUCCA
Molecule: transfer RNA, 72 nt
Filed under: Camelus bactrianus (Bactrian camel)
Lineage: Eukaryota; Metazoa; Chordata; Mammalia; Artiodactyla; Camelidae
Also listed under: 2 other names
Rfam family: tRNA
About the family: Transfer RNA (tRNA) molecules are approximately 80 nucleotides in length.
Source: Rfam by way of RNAcentral